UUGCUUUGGCAGCAUAUAUACUAAAAUUGGAACAAUGAUACAGAGAAGAUUAGCAUGGCCCCUGAGCAAGGAUGACAGGCAAUUUUGCAAAGCAUUCCAUAUUUAA
Molecule: small nuclear RNA, 106 nt
Organism: Monodelphis domestica (gray short-tailed opossum)
Lineage: Eukaryota; Metazoa; Chordata; Mammalia; Didelphimorphia; Didelphidae
Source: RefSeq, a predicted model, not a curated record